GGCGGUGUAGCUCAGGGGUAGAGCAAGCGGCUCAUAUCCGCUGUGUCCGGGGUUCGAAUCCCUGCACCGCCA
RNAcentral lists this transfer RNA (72 nucleotides) under Acidobacteriota bacterium. Its description in RNAcentral is "tRNA-Met". It matches the Rfam family "tRNA". Rfam says of the family: Transfer RNA (tRNA) molecules are approximately 80 nucleotides in length. Their secondary structure includes four short double-helical elements and three loops (D, anti-codon, and T loops). Further hydrogen bonds mediate the characteristic L-shaped molecular structure. tRNAs have two regions of fundamental functional importance: the anti-codon, which is responsible for specific mRNA codon recognition, and the 3' end, to which the tRNAs corresponding amino acid is attached (by aminoacyl-tRNA synthetases). tRNAs cope with the degeneracy of the genetic code in two manners: having more than one tRNA (with a specific anti-codon) for a particular amino acid; and 'wobble' base-pairing, i.e. permitting non-standard base-pairing at the 3rd anti-codon position. The record is from RNAcentral. Lineage: Bacteria; Pseudomonadati; Acidobacteriota.